This 406-nucleotide ribosomal RNA is filed under the name uncultured bacterium. RNAcentral describes it as "partial 16S ribosomal RNA". It matches the Rfam family "Bacterial small subunit ribosomal RNA", at positions 30 to 526 of the family's 1533-position model. The record is from RNAcentral.
AUUGAACGCUGGCGGCAGGCCUAACACAUGCAAGUCGAACGAGUGGCGGACGGGUGAGUAAUGUCUGGGAAACUGCCUGAUGGAGGGCGAUAACUACUGGAAACGGUUGCUGAUACCGCAUACCAUCGGAUGUGCCCAGAUGGGUUUAGCUAGUAGGUGGGGUAAAGGCUCACCUAGGCGACGAUCCCUAGCUGGUCUGAGAGGAUGAACAGCCACACUGGAAAGGAGACACGGUCCAGACUCCGACGGGAGGCAGCAGUGGGGAAUAGUGGACAAUGGGCGCAAGCCUGAUGCAGCCAUGCCGCGUGUAUGAAGAAGGCCUUCGGGUUGUAAAGUACUUUUAGCGGGGAGGCGUUACCCGCAGAAUAAGCACCGGCUAACUCCGUGCCAGCAGCCGCGGUAAUUC